RNAcentral lists this unclassified non-coding RNA (249 nucleotides) under Hevea brasiliensis (rubber tree). Lineage: Eukaryota; Viridiplantae; Streptophyta; Magnoliopsida; Malpighiales; Euphorbiaceae. The record is from RNAcentral.
GAAGAUACAACAGUGGCUCUCUGGGAACUUUAUCCCCCUAGAACAUGACAUUGUAUCGUUGUUGAUCCUCGUGGUGUUUGUAAUGAAUGGGUUAACGUCUGUAGUUUUGCAGCGCGAGAGUGAUCCCCAGAUGAGCAUAUGGAGUUGCUGGAAGAUAUUACUGAUCAUUAGAAAGAGAAGAGGACCUUAAGCUAUUUUUUGGCAAAUGGACACUUUGAUCCGGCCUUUCCCCAGACCCUGCAUAUAGCG